Molecule: ribosomal RNA, 235 nt
Filed under: uncultured bacterium
Lineage: Bacteria
Description: partial 16S ribosomal RNA
Rfam family: Bacterial small subunit ribosomal RNA
Source: RNAcentral
UGGCGGACGGGUGAGUAAUGUCUGGGAAACUGCCCGAUGGAGGGGGAUAACUACUGGAAACGGUAGCUAAUACCGCAUAACGUCGCAAGACCAAAGAGGGGGACCUUCGGGCCUCUUGCCAUCGGAUGUGCCCAGAUGGGAUUAGCUAGUAGGUGGGGUAACGGCUCACCUAGGCGACGAUCCCUAGCUGGUCUGAGAGGAUGACCAGCCACACUGGGACUGGGACACGGCCCAG